Molecule: small RNA, 583 nt
Filed under: Pan troglodytes (chimpanzee)
Lineage: Eukaryota; Metazoa; Chordata; Mammalia; Primates; Hominidae
Description: processed transcript
Source: RNAcentral
ACUUUGCACGCCGCCCAGGGCUACACCACUCACCGAAAAUUGGGAGGCAGGUGCUGGAGAAUCUGGUAAAAGCACCAUUGUGAAGCAGAUGAGGAUCCUGCAUGUUAAUGGGUUUAAUGGAGACAGUGAGAAGGCAACCAAAGUGCAGGACAUCAAAAACAACCUGAAAGAGGCGAUUGAAACCAUUGUGGCCGCCAUGAGCAACCUGGUGCCCCCCGUGGAGCUGGCCAACCCCGAGAACCAGUUCAGAGUGGACUACAUUCUGAGUGUGAUGAACGUGCCUGACUUUGACUUCCCUCCCGAAUUCUAUGAGCAUGCCAAGGCUCUGUGGGAGGAUGAAGGAGUGCGUGCCUGCUAUGAACGCUCCAACGAGUACCAGCUGAUUGACUGUGCCCAGUACUUCCUGGACAAGAUCGACGUGAUCAAGCAGGCUGACUACGUGCCGAGCGAUCAGGACCUGCUUCGCUGCCGUGUCCUGACUUCUGGAAUCUUUGAGACCAAGUUCCAGGUGGACAAAGUCAACUUCCACAUGUUUGACGUGGGUGGCCAGCGCGAUGAACGCCGCAAGUGGAUCCAGUGCUUC